Molecule: long non-coding RNA, 1583 nt
Organism: Cyprinus carpio carpio
Lineage: Eukaryota; Metazoa; Chordata; Actinopteri; Cypriniformes; Cyprinidae
Source: Ensembl
GUGUUGUAAUGCUUAAAAUCAUAAUUGGUUUUGUAUCCCAAGUAAAUUCAGGUUUAGAAUGGCACUCCCAUAUUUAACAGUGUGUACAGAACCGCAUUAAAAAGAGGAGUGACAUCUGUUUUUACCUGCAGUGUGAACAGGCUGUACUUCAAUCCCUCACAGCUGCUUUUCGUUCAUAUCAAAAUAUGGCAUCUACUCCGACUCAACACUGCUCCUACAGAAGAGAGUUUUCCUACACAGUGUUGCUGGCAUGCUCAUCUGAUGAUGCACUGAGGUCUCGUCAUCCUUGGCUGUUUGCGUGUGGCCUGAUUUCAGAUGCAAGAGAAGAGAUGACCAAUGGUGAAGCAUUAACUCUUUCUGCUGUCACAGUCUAAGACACAUACACACGUUAGGUAUUAAAAACAGGACUGAAUAGGAACGAUGGUGCAUGGAAGAGAAAUGAGCAUAUUUGUGUCUGUGUUUGGAUCCCAGGUUUCGGUUAAAUAUGCAAACAGGUUAUAUAUGCAUCUGUUGAGCCCUAAUAGAGGGUUGAAUGCGACAGGUUGGAAUGAAUGGCUUGAAAUGCUAGCACCUUGUUUUGUGCAAAUCACCCCCAAACUCCAUACAAAGAGUAAAAUCUUCACCUUUUUUGACAGGUGGUUAACUAUGCAUAUAUGCCAAACAUUCAUAUAUAGAUCUAUAUAUUUUUUGAUUUUUAAAAAUUUAUAUGAAAACUAUCAUAUAUACAUUGCUUGUGAUUGAUAUAAAAAGCAAAUAUUUUAGUUAUUUGUCCAUAUGUACAGCUGCAGGAUCUCUGGGCUUCUUUUACAUUGAUGUUUUUUCAUUUAAUCUUUUGUCCUCAGCAUUUUCUUUGAACUAACUGACAUUCUAAAAUUAAUUCUAAAUGAAUUCAUAAAAUUCUUCUAAGCAUCAUAUUUCACAAGCUACGAAAUCCACCUAUGAGAAAAAAAAUAAAAAAUAAAAAAAAUAAAGAAAUAAAAAAGGCCAAAACAAAUAGGCCAAAUGCUUCAGUGCUUUCAGCAGGUUAACAUAUAAGCCAUACGGUGGAAACUUUUACAAUUAUAGAUUCUGUCUUCAGGUUUGAGAUGUUGAACACCAGUCGUUACCAUCCAGAUAAGCUGCAAUAUUCCAGAUGUUUCUCGUCCCACAGUGGUUCUAUCAUGCACACCUCACACACAUUAGUUCACACACUUGUUUACAUGCACACUUAUUGCAGAGUUUCUUAUUCAGAAUUUCUUAUUACCAGAUUAAGAAGACUUCUUUAGAUCAAAUUUGGAUAAGAAACUGGUGUGGCUGUGUGCAUGAAAGUGUGUAACUGUACUGGGAAUGUAAAAACUACAAACGAAUAACUGACAGUAGUGGUGUGUGUGAGGGGGCUCAAACAUGAACACACCAUUACAGCCCACUGUGGGAUGUUCAAUUAAAGAUGGAAGACCAGGUUCAGUAAAACUUUAACAAACAAAAGCAAAAAAGGGAGUGGUACAAUACAAAUCGAACAAUCCAGUCAACCGUCAUUCCGUAUGGUGAUGUCACGUUUCAUGCUACAGUCCAUCAUAAAAGGAUAACCAAAAAUCUUUUUCAAG